CCUACAGGAGGCAGCAGUGGGGAAUCUUGCGCAAUGGGCGAAAGCCUGACGCAGCCAUGCCGCGUGGAUGAUGAAGGUCUUAGGAUUGUAAAAUCCUUUCACCGGUGAAGAUAAUGACUGUAGCCGGAGAAGAAGCCCCGGCUAACUUCGUGCCAGCAGCCGCGGUAAUACGAAGGGGGCUAGCGUUGCUCGGAAUUACUGGGCGUAAAGGGAGCGUAGGCGGACAUUUAAGUCAGAGGUGAAAUCCCGGAGCUUAACUUCGGAACUGCCUUUGAUACUGGGUGUCUUGAGUGUGAGAGAGGUAUGUGGAACUCCGAGUGUAGAGGUGAAAUUCGUAGAUAUUCGGAAGAACACCAGUGGCGAAGGCGACAUACUGGCUCAUUACUGACGCUGAGGCUCGAAAGCGUGGGGAGCAAACAGGAUUAGAUACCCUGGUAGUCCACGCCGUAAACGAUGAUUGCUAGUUGUCGGGAAGCUUGCUUCUCGGUGACGCAGCUACGCAUAGACACUACCGCCGUCGGGAGGUACGGUCGCGAGAUAAACUACAAGAGUAGUAGACGNGNGAGACGCGACGACGACGACGACGGAGGAGGAGG
Molecule: ribosomal RNA, 596 nt
Filed under: uncultured bacterium
Lineage: Bacteria
Description: bacterial SSU rRNA
Rfam family: Bacterial small subunit ribosomal RNA (bases 1-516)
Source: RNAcentral